This 254-nucleotide ribosomal RNA is filed under the name uncultured bacterium. Its description in RNAcentral is "partial 16S ribosomal RNA". It matches the Rfam family "Bacterial small subunit ribosomal RNA", at positions 524 to 776 of the family's 1533-position model. The record is from RNAcentral.
UACGUAGGAUCCAAGCGUUAUCCGGAAUUACUGGGCGUAAAGCGUACGUAGGUGGAGAUUUAAGUGAGAUGCGAAAUCUGGCGGCUCAACCGUCUAGACUGUGUCUCAUACUGGGUUUCUUGAGGUUGGCAGAGGCAAGUGGAAUUUCCGGUGUAGCAGUGGAAUGCGUAGAGAUCGGAAGGAACACCAAUGGCGAAGGCAGCUUGCUGGGCCACACCUGACACUGAGGUACGAAAGCGUGGGGAGCGAACAGG